CAAUUACUCUGUACCAGACUCUAUCUAAACAGCUGAGGCACAACCAUGCAGAGUUCAAUCCCAUUCCUUUCUUUAUGUAUAACUAUUUACAGAGAAGUUUUCUAGAGGUUACAUGACAUGAUGUGUUACAACAGACCGAAUGCUCAAGGAGAUGUGAGACUCCAGGCAUCUCCAGGGUCAUUUUGGUAAUAUCUCAUCACAUGCUGUCUGGCCAAAUUUGUUUCCUAAUUGGAUAUUCCAAGGCUCCUAGAAACUUUGAGAAAACAAGGUCACACACUGCGGCAGGAAGAAAGGUUCCCUCUGACCCGGCAACAAGCGGCCCACCGCCUGCAGCCAGAGAAGAGCCGCCACCGCUUCCCCAGUCUCCUCCUGAUACCGACAAGGUCAUCUGUCUCCUCGGACUUGCUAUAGUUUGCCACAGU
Molecule: non-coding RNA, 422 nt
Organism: Odocoileus virginianus texanus
Lineage: Eukaryota; Metazoa; Chordata; Mammalia; Artiodactyla; Cervidae
Source: RefSeq, a predicted model, not a curated record